UGUUCAAUAGUUCUUCUUUCUUUCGUUUGGGGUUAUUUCUAUUUUCAAUUUACCAAACGUCGUGUUGGACUAAGAUGAGCGAGCAAA
Molecule: long non-coding RNA, 87 nt
Organism: Musca vetustissima
Lineage: Eukaryota; Metazoa; Arthropoda; Insecta; Diptera; Muscidae
Exons: 2
Source: RefSeq, a predicted model, not a curated record